Molecule: long non-coding RNA, 3370 nt
Organism: Pseudopipra pipra
Lineage: Eukaryota; Metazoa; Chordata; Aves; Passeriformes; Pipridae
Exons: 3
Source: RefSeq, a predicted model, not a curated record
CCACUCCCUGCAUGGCAGCCCCUCAUCCUGAGCACGGCUGGGGCAUGAAUCCUGCCCCGUGCUCAGCAUCCCUGGACGAGGAGCUACGGUCUCAUAUCCUUCCUCACACGGGGAGGGGGAAACGCUUCGGCACCGCUAAUUGUGGAGGGCUGGUGCUUUCGGCGCUGCUUGCCUCAGGCUGCCAAUCACCCCUCGCUCCCCUGCUCCCGCCGCAGCGCCGGGCAUCACGUCAGCUGUGUCUCGGUGUGCUCUGACAUCGGCCUGACGCCUGGACCGUGCCGGGGCAGUGACGAGCAGUAAUUGGGUCCCCCCUCCAUCGGCAUCACCUGUCAAGGCCGUGGGGCGGAGGCAGCGAGUGACUUUGCAGCCGUCCAAGGAAGAGCUCGGAUGCUGACACCUUUCUGGUGGAGACAGACCUGCCAGGUGUUGACUUCUGCUGGCAGUGAGGAUGCUCUGCAAUCACAGAUACCCGUUCUCAGCUGGGGUUUCCUGCCUGUUGGCUGGUUUGAAGUUGGCAAUUCAUCGAGACGAAGUUGUGCAAAGUUGGCUGUUGCUGAAUUUGCAUUUUUUUUUUCCCCAGAGGAGAGAGAUUUAGAGUGAAAAAUAUUGCGGCGCUGCAUCAUCAGGAGCUCCAUUCCCCUCAUGUGUCACCCUCAUUGCAAGUGGAAUUACAGGCUUGCCCUUCCUCACCUCUUCCCCGCCGCUGAAGUCCUCAUGUGGCGAUUCCCUGCGUCCCCGCUCUGGACAUGGGAUUACAGCUCCGGCUCCUCUUCCCAGUGCAUCAUCAACAUGUUGUUUCCAGGGUCAUAAAUUUGCACUGUGAUGAGACACAACCAGAUGUUAGGAUACGUGAAGCGACUGGCGAAGCAGCCUGCCUGGCGCAGCCCCCACCUCCGGAGUCAGCCGCCCGCUAAUGAGAAGCAGGUCUCUCGCCUUGAGCUGGGCCAGGACAGACGGAGAGCAUCCCCAGGAGCAACCACUGAGCUGCCAUCUCAACGCCCUUCCUGCUCUCAGUGCCCGGGGAGCAUCUCCAGGGCCGGAUUCAGGCACUUUGGUGGCUAUUGGCUUCUGGCAGCCAUCUGGAAUGAUAGUUUGGGCCGGUAUAGGGGGGGAACGCCCAAGGCCGUGGUCCUCCUUGCUAGCAAGGAUGCUGGUUACUGUGCUGUGUGAUCCUUUAUCAUGUAAAAAUACUUCUGAGAUGCAUGUUUUGGAUCAUUUGUGUGGCUGAACAGGCUGUUUGGUAAUGGAGAGACUCGUGGGGAAGUGAGGUCAGUAUGCUAGGCUGGUACCCUCUGCCACAAGCCACUGUUAGCUUGUGAUGCCUGUUUCCAAGUGGCUUCAGCCCAUGUGUCCCCAUGGUACUGAGGCUCCCAAGUCCCCUGGGUGGGCAGGGAGCUGGGGCUGGGGCAGGUGGCACUGAAAAGGAGGUGAAGGGCUGUUUGCAGGGAAUGUGUUGGUCGUGGGCUGUGAGGAUGCUCAGGAUGGCUGCAGCUUUUGGAUGAUGUCUGUAUUAAACACACAACCCUUGUAACCCCUGUCCUGCUGUCCCGUGGUGCACAUUCACUGGGUGAUACUUUGGGGCACACACUAAACAUAGGGGGAUCCACACCCUGAUUGCAGCCCCUGGUACAACCAUCCUGUGGCUUUUUCAACAUGGGCUCCUUUUUCACUGUGGUGAUCCCUGCUGCCCUGGGUGUAAGCCUGAGCCCUGCAUGGGGCUGGCACAGCUCUGUAUGCUCAUUCACAGCACAGGAUCAUUGCCUGCGUGGUGGGGUGAGUCUAGGCUUAACAAUGAUCCAGCGUGGAGAUCUGGCCUUACAGCUACUUAUCUUUUCCUUCACCUUCCCCAGCCCACAUGGGCACUGAUGGUAUUUCCUCACAUGCAUGCUCCGAUGGUAUAGGGUUGGGCAGGCCUGCUCUUUCCUUUUAGCAUCCAGGUAAGCACAGAGGGGAGAGAAGAGCUACUGGAAGCAGAAGGAGCAUGUUUGUACCAGACCCAAGAACUACAUUUUGGCCAGAUCUUCAGGGGCUGCUCCUCAGUUGGAGGUUCAGCAACAGCCUCCAAAUGGGAGAAGAAGGAAAUGGAGCUUGGUAAGUCCUUGGAGGGGACAAAACAGUGUGUGCCUGUGGCUGCAAGGGAAACUUGCAGCCCCAGCUCCAAUGAAGGGGUAGUCCAGCCAUCCCCAAUUGUCUUUGCCACCAGUCCAAGGGAAUUUCCUAAGGCUGUGCUGGAGGGAUGGGAUCAAGUAGUCCUUGGGCAUGUUCCCACCAUCCCUUCUCAGUGACAUGAGGGAGAGUGAGUGCUGUGGCUCUGCUCAGCCCCUCUGGAGGAGCAACCCAUGGACCCGGAUGACUGUGAAGGGUUUCACACCCUCUGGAAGAGCUACAGCCCUUCCCACAGGAAGGCCAGGUGAAACAGGGCUUCCUGCCAGCAGCUCCUGGGGUUACACCUCACUGCCCCAAGCAUGUCCAGGGAAGAAGGGGAUGCCCUGUGACACGGGGUGUGGAGGCCUCUCUGUCCCUGUCGUGCUGCAGAACACCCACCCCAUUGUGAGGCAGCACAUUGGAGGGAGUUUGGGUUAAAAGGGGUUAACAGCUCUCUGCUGUAACACAUGAUUGGUCUUUAUGAGGUUGAAACUCUUGUCUGUUUGAGGCCUACAGAUGAUGCUAAAGAGCACAAUAAUGACAGCAAUUCAAAGCAAUCUAAUUAUGCAAACGGGAGGCUAAACAAUUUCAUCAUCCUUAAAUUAGAUUGUCCUAAUGAGAUAAAGACACCAAUUAAUCCUGAAUUAAUUUCAAUAGCCUAUUUCAGGCAAACACUUUAAUAUGCAAAUGUAAAUGAGAAACAAAGCCUACUGUAGAAUGCCAGAGUUCAAAACCUCUCUCUGCACAGCUGCAGCGGGUGUAAAUAGUGUCUAAUGAGUUUGCAUGGAAAGACACAACCAGUUGAAAAUUUUAGACUUCAUAAAGCACAGCCGGUGCCUCAGGCACGGGGCAGGGAGCUGCAAAGGCAUCCAUGGGAAAUGCUGGCAUUGAUGGUGAGGCUCAGGUCUGAGUUAUUCCUGCUGCUGUGUCUCCUCUCCAGCAGGUCCCAGGAACAUGGCUGGGAGGAAGCUGUUAAAAACAAACAGAUAGAAGGAUAACAAAACCAAACUGUCCCAGUUUGGAUAAUUUAUCCCUCUUAGAUAAUUUAUCCCUCUGCCCCUUCUGCCAAAUCUAUCCUGGGCUGUUGUGAGGGAAUAAUGUUAGAGUCACAGAAUGAUUUGUGUCAUAAAGGACCUGAAAGACCAUCUUGUUCCAAACCCCAGCCAUGGGCAACUCCUUGCACUAGACCAGGUUGCUCCAAACCCCAUCUGACCUGGCCUUGAAC